RNAcentral lists this ribosomal RNA (1456 nucleotides) under Mammaliicoccus sciuri. RNAcentral describes it as "bacterial SSU rRNA". It matches the Rfam family "Bacterial small subunit ribosomal RNA". The record is from RNAcentral. Lineage: Bacteria; Bacillati; Bacillota; Bacilli; Caryophanales; Staphylococcaceae.
CAGUGCGGGCAGCUAUACAUGCAAGUCGAGCGAACAGAUGAGAAGCUUGCUUCUCUGAUGUUAGCGGCGGACGGGUGAGUAACACGUGGGUAACCUACCUAUAAGACUGGGAUAACUCCGGGAAACCGGGGCUAAUACCGGAUAAUAUUUUGAACCGCAUGGUUCAAUAGUGAAAGACGGUUUCGGCUGUCACUUAUAGAUGGACCCGCGCCGUAUUAGCUAGUUGGUAAGGUAACGGCUUACCAAGGCGACGAUACGUAGCCGACCUGAGAGGGUGAUCGGCCACACUGGAACUGAGACACGGUCCAGACUCCUACGGGAGGCAGCAGUAGGGAAUCUUCCGCAAUGGGCGAAAGCCUGACGGAGCAACGCCGCGUGAGUGAUGAAGGUCUUCGGAUCGUAAAACUCUGUUGUUAGGGAAGAACAAAUUUGUUAGUAACUGAACAAGUCUUGACGGUACCUAACCAGAAAGCCACGGCUAACUACGUGCCAGCAGCCGCGGUAAUACGUAGGUGGCAAGCGUUAUCCGGAAUUAUUGGGCGUAAAGCGCGCGUAGGCGGUUUCUUAAGUCUGAUGUGAAAGCCCACGGCUCAACCGUGGAGGGUCAUUGGAAACUGGGAAACUUGAGUGCAGAAGAGGAGAGUGGAAUUCCAUGUGUAGCGGUGAAAUGCGCAGAGAUAUGGAGGAACACCAGUGGCGAAGGCGGCUCUCUGGUCUGUAACUGACGCUGAUGUGCGAAAGCGUGGGGAUCAAACAGGAUUAGAUACCCUGGUAGUCCACGCCGUAAACGAUGAGUGCUAAGUGUUAGGGGGUUUCCGCCCCUUAGUGCUGCAGCUAACGCAUUAAGCACUCCGCCUGGGGAGUACGACCGCAAGGUUGAAACUCAAAGGAAUUGACGGGGACCCGCACAAGCGGUGGAGCAUGUGGUUUAAUUCGAAGCAACGCGAAGAACCUUACCAAAUCUUGACAUCCUUUGACCGCUCUAGAGAUAGAGUCUUCCCCUUCGGGGGACAAAGUGACAGGUGGUGCAUGGUUGUCGUCAGCUCGUGUCGUGAGAUGUUGGGUUAAGUCCCGCAACGAGCGCAACCCUUAAGCUUAGUUGCCAUCAUUAAGUUGGGCACUCUAGGUUGACUGCCGGUGACAAACCGGAGGAAGGUGGGGAUGACGUCAAAUCAUCAUGCCCCUUAUGAUUUGGGCUACACACGUGCUACAAUGGAUAAUACAAAGGGCAGCGAAUCCGCGAGGCCAAGCAAAUCCCAUAAAAUUAUUCUCAGUUCGGAUUGUAGUCUGCAACUCGACUACAUGAAGCUGGAAUCGCUAGUAAUCGUAGAUCAGCAUGCUACGGUGAAUACGUUCCCGGGUCUUGUACACACCGCCCGUCACACCACGAGAGUUUGUAACACCCGAAGCCGGUGGAGUAACCUUUUAGGAGCUAGCCGUCGAAGGUGGACAAUUG